UCGAGGGGCAGCAUGGUCUUAGCUUGCUAAGGCUGAUGGCGACCGGCGCACGGGUGAGUAACACGUAUCCAACCUGCCGUCUACUCUUGGCCAGCCUUCUGAAAGGAAGAUUAAUCCAGGAUGGGAUCAUGAGUUCACAUGUCCGCAUGAUUAAAGGUAUUUUCCGGUAGACGAUGGGGAUGCGUUCCAUUAGAUAGUAGGCGGGGUAACGGCCCACCUAGUCAACGAUGGAUAGGGGUUCUGAGAGGAAGGUCCCCCACAUUGGAACUGAGACACGGUCCAAACUCCUACGGGAGGCAGCAGUGAGGAAUAUUGGUCAAUGGGCGAUGGCCUGAACCAGCCAAGUAGCGUGAAGGAUGACUGCCCCAUGGGUUGUAAACUUCUUUUAUAAAGGAAUAAAGUCGGGUAUGCAUACCCGUUUGCAUGUACUUUAUGAAUAAGGAUCGGCUAACUCCGUGCCAGCAGCCGCGGUAAUACGGAGGAUCCGAGCGUUAUCCGGAUUUAUUGGGUUUAAAGGGAGCGUAGAUGGAUGUUUAAGUCAGUUGUGAAAGUUUGCGGCUCAACCGUAAAAUUGCAGUUGAUACUGGAUGUCUUGAGUGCAGUUGAGGCAGGCGGAAUUCGUGGUGUAGCGGUGAAAUGCUUAGAUAUCACGAAGAACUCC
This 661-nucleotide ribosomal RNA is filed under the name uncultured bacterium. Its description in RNAcentral is "bacterial SSU rRNA". It matches the Rfam family "Bacterial small subunit ribosomal RNA", at positions 62 to 710 of the family's 1533-position model. The record is from RNAcentral.